GCCCUACAGGGUGCAGCAGGCGCGAAAACUUUACAAUGCUGGCAACAGCGAUAAGGGAACCUCGAGUGCCAGGUUACAAAUCUGGCUGUCGAGAUGCCUAAAAAGCAUUUCAUAGCAAGGGCCGGGCAAGACCGGUGCCAGCCGCCGCGGUAACACCGGCGGCUCGAGUGGUAACCGUUAUUAUUGGGUCUAAAGGGUCUGUAGCCGGCCGGAUAAGUCUCUUGAGAAAUCUGGCAGCUUAACUGUCAGGCUUUCAGGAGAUACUGUCUGGCUCGAGGCCGGGAGAGGUGAGAGGUACUUCAGGGGUAGGGGUGAAAUCUUGUAAUCCUUGAAGGACCACCAGUGGCGAAGGCGUCUCACCAGAACGGACCUGACGGCAAGGGACGAAAGCUAGGGGCACGAACCGGAUUAGAUACCCGGGUAGUCCUAGCCGUAAACGAUACUCGCUAGGUGUCGGCCACGGUGCGACCGUUGUCGGUGCCGUAGGGAAGCCGUGAAGCGAGCCACCUGGGAAGUACGGCCGCAAGGCUGAAACUUAAAGGAAUUGGCGGGGGAGCACCACAACGGGUGGAGCUUGCGGUUUAAUUGGAUUCAACGCCGGAAAUCUUAC
RNAcentral lists this ribosomal RNA (610 nucleotides) under uncultured archaeon. RNAcentral describes it as "bacterial SSU rRNA". It matches the Rfam family "Archaeal small subunit ribosomal RNA", at positions 320 to 930 of the family's 1478-position model. The record is from RNAcentral.